UAUGUGAUCGUCUCUCGCAUAUCAAUAAGCGGAGGAAAAGGAAACUAACAAGGAUUCCCCUAGUAACGGCGAGUGAAGCGGGAAGAGCUCAAAUUUGAAAUCUUAAAGGGUUUCCCUUUACGAAUUGUAGUUUAAAGAAGUGUUUUCUGUUGAGGUUUUGGUAAAAGUUCUUUGGAAUAGGACAUCAUAGAGGGUGAGAAUCCCGUAUUUGACCUUUACUUUCAACUUUGUGAUACACUUUCAAAGAGUCGGAUUGUUUGGGAAUGCAGUCCAAAAUGGGUGGUAAAUUUCAUCUAAAGCUAAAUAUUGGCGAGAGACCGAUAGCGAACAAGUACCGUGAGGGAAAGAUGAAAAGAACUUUGAAAAGAGAGUUAAACAGUACGUGAAGUUGUCAAAAGGGAAGCGUUUGACACCAGUGUUGUUUUUCUGAAAAUCAAUUAAAGAACUGUUUAUGCUAAGCUGUUUAGACUUUAUCAGCUAUCUGUUUAGUUUUGAGCUUUUCUUUAAUGCACUUUUCAGUUAACAAGUCAACAUCAAUUUCUUUUGCUGUAAAAAAGCUUGAGGAAGGUGGCUUGAGAUUCGUCUUAAGUGUUUAUAGCCUCUUGCCUAUGCAGUCGGAGAGAUUGAGGUCUGCAGCGUAGAUCCUUCGGGGCUAAAUGCAUUUGUGCUAAGUUAUAGCAUUUUAUAGACAACUUGUUGACUAUGAUUUGUCUUGUAGCUUACUCGCUUAUGUUAUUUUACCUACGCUUAGGAUGUUGAUAUGCAUGACUGAUAU
RNAcentral lists this ribosomal RNA (775 nucleotides) under uncultured Neocallimastigales. RNAcentral describes it as "partial large subunit ribosomal RNA". It matches the Rfam family "Eukaryotic large subunit ribosomal RNA", at positions 24 to 640 of the family's 3401-position model. The record is from RNAcentral. Lineage: Eukaryota; Fungi; Neocallimastigomycota; Neocallimastigomycetes; Neocallimastigales.